RNAcentral lists this unclassified non-coding RNA (358 nucleotides) under Escherichia fergusonii ATCC 35469. RNAcentral describes it as "isf". The record is from RNAcentral. Lineage: Bacteria; Pseudomonadati; Pseudomonadota; Gammaproteobacteria; Enterobacterales; Enterobacteriaceae.
GCAGAAACCGCUUCCGACAGGCGUUCACACGGGAAAUAUGUUGCUCAUCAACAUAGAGAGAGCAAAUGAAAAAAGAUUCCAGGAUUAAUCCUAAUUUUACUUAAUGAUACAAAUUAGAAUGAAUUUUUAACCCGGAAAGUUGUCUCGUGGCAUGUGUCCGGGCACUGACUGGACGCAUAAUAAACCCCAUCGCAUUCCCUUCAUUAGCUGCAUUAACCAGUUCCGCAUGUUCUUCUUCGGUUAAUUCUUCGGCAAGCCAGCCGAUAACCACACUGUAAUUCCCGGUACGUAAAGCGCGAAUCAUUGAUUCAACAGUAUGGCACGGAGAAAGCUGAUUGAUUUGCAUAACUUUGCUCAA